AUUGAACGCUGGCGGCAUGCUUUACACAUGCAAGUCGAACGGCAGCGCGGGGCAACCUGGCGGCGAGUGGCGAACGGGUGAGUAAUAUAUCGGAACGUACCCAGAAGUGGGGGAUAACGUAGCGAAAGUUACGCUAAUACCGCAUACGAUCUACGGAUGAAAGUGGGGGAUCGCAAGACCUCAUGCUUUUGGAGCGGCCGAUAUCUGAUUAGCUAGUUGGUAGGGUAAAGGCCUACCAAGGCGACGAUCAGUAGCUGGUCUGAGAGGACGACCAGCCACACUGGGACUGAGACACGGCCCAGACUCCUACGGGAGGCAGCAGUGGGGAAUUUUGGACAAUGGGCGCAAGCCUGGUCCAGCAAUGCCGCGUGAGUGAAGAAGGCCUUCGGGUUGUAAAGCUCUUUUGUCAGGGAAGAAACGGCCGAGGCUAAUACCUUUGGCUAAUGACGGUACCUGAAGAAUAAGCACCGGCUAACUACGUG
Molecule: ribosomal RNA, 482 nt
Filed under: uncultured bacterium
Lineage: Bacteria
Description: partial 16S ribosomal RNA
Rfam family: Bacterial small subunit ribosomal RNA
Source: RNAcentral